Molecule: ribosomal RNA, 427 nt
Filed under: uncultured beta proteobacterium
Lineage: Bacteria; Pseudomonadati; Pseudomonadota; Betaproteobacteria
Description: bacterial SSU rRNA
Rfam family: Bacterial small subunit ribosomal RNA
Source: RNAcentral
UGGGGAAUUUUGGACAAUGGGCGAAAGCCUGAUCCAGCCAUGCCGCGUGAGUGAAGAAGGCCUUCGGGUUGUAAAGCUCUUUUAGUCGGGAAGAAAGAGUUGCAAUGAAUAAUUGUGAUUUAUGACGGUACCGACAGAAAAAGCACCGGCUAACUACGUGCCAGCAGCCGCGGUAAUACGUAGGGUGCGAGCGUUAAUCGGAAUUACUGGGCGUAAAGGGUGCGCAGGCGGUCUUGCAAGUCAGAUGUGAAAGCCCCGGGCUUAACCUGGGAAUUGCGUUUGAAACUACAAGACUAGAGUGCAGCAGAGGGGAGUGGAAUUCCAUGUGUAGCAGUGAAAUGCGUAGAGAUGUGGAAGAACACCGAUGGCGAAGGCAGCUCCCUGGGUUGACACUGACGCUCAUGCACGAAAGCGUGGGGAGCAAACA